CCUACGGGUGGCAGCAGUGGGGCAUAUUGCACAAUGGGGGAAACCCUGAUGCAGCGACGCCGCGUGAGCGAUGACAUAGUUCGGUGUGUAAAGCUCUAUCAGCAGAGACAUAAAUGACGUUACCUGACUAAGAAGCCUCGGCUAACUACGUGCCAGCCGCCGAGGUCAUACGGAGGGGGCAAGCGUUAUCCGGAUGGACCGGGCGUAAAGGGAGCGUAGACGGUUCUGCAGGCCAGAUGUGAAAGACCGGGGUUCAACCCCGGGACUGCAUGUGGCACUGUAAGGCUAGAGUAUCGGAGAGGCAGGCGGAAUUCCUAGUGUAGCGGUGAAAUGCGUAGAUAUUAGGAGGAACACCAGUGGCGAAGGCGGCCUGCUGAACGAUGACUGACGUUGAGGCUCGAAAGCGUGGGGAGCAAAUAGGAUUAGAUACCCGUGUAGUC
This 440-nucleotide ribosomal RNA is filed under the name uncultured bacterium. RNAcentral's name for it is "partial 16S ribosomal RNA". It matches the Rfam family "Bacterial small subunit ribosomal RNA", at positions 338 to 795 of the family's 1533-position model. The record is from RNAcentral.